Vicia faba (fava bean) is the source of this 210-nucleotide non-coding RNA. Lineage: Eukaryota; Viridiplantae; Streptophyta; Magnoliopsida; Fabales; Fabaceae. The record is from the annotation of a GenBank genome assembly.
AUGGUAAAAAUAUACAUUCAAUCAAACAUUACAUCCAAAUUCCAACCUUCCAAGAAACAACAAAAAGUUUGCAAAUUACACAGAGCUACAAUAAACCUAUCACUACUAAUCUUUAGCUAUGCCAAACCUUUUGUUUCCAUGAUUCUGUGUCUGCAACUUUCAAACUUCAAUUUCCAAGCUUUGUCGUGUUUCGAGCCAUGUCACAAAUAA